RNAcentral lists this ribosomal RNA (305 nucleotides) under uncultured bacterium. RNAcentral describes it as "partial 16S ribosomal RNA". It matches the Rfam family "Bacterial small subunit ribosomal RNA", at positions 508 to 807 of the family's 1533-position model. The record is from RNAcentral.
ACAGCAGUAGCCGCGGUAAUACGAAGGGGGCUAGCGUUGCUCGGAAUUACUGGGCGUAAAGGGAGCGUAGGCGGACAUUUAAGUCAGGGGUGAAAUCCCAGAGCUCAACUCUGGAACUGCCUUUGAUACUGGGUGUCUUGAGUGUGAUAGAGGUAUGUGGAACUCCGAGUGUAGAGGUGAAAUUCGUAGAUAUUCGGAAGAACACCAGUGGCGAAGGCGACAUACUGGAUCAUUACUGACGCUGAGGCUCGAAAGCGUGGGGAGCAAACAGGAUUAGAGACCCGUGUAGUCCCUGUCUCUUAUAC